CAGAGCGCGGCGGGCAGCCGGCUCUGGCAUCCCGCUGGUGCGCGCUCUGCUCGAGUGGUGCUUUCAGCACCAAGCACCAAUACAUCACUGUUAAAAGCCCGUGUGCACGCAGGAUUAGUAAGAGCAGCUGUAACCUGAAAACCAAAAGCGAAAUUGAUUUAUAGCCAUGGUUACUCAAAAUGCUCAGACUUUAAUCUAUUCAUAGGGAUGCUCUGAAAGUCCCGCAGGAUUCGGAUGCAGUGAGAAGGAGAUAUCCUGCUGGGCGGGCAGUGUUUGUACACCUUGCUUGCACAGCAACAGUUCUCCCAUGCGGCUAAAAGCUGUGGGUGGCAGCACGGUGGUAAAAAGAUAACAAUAUUUAACAGCUUUCUUCAAUUAGCAUCAUCCCUGUGCUUUUGACUGUUAAACUCCUUGUUUUGCUUCACCUUCCAGGCCCGGAUAACCCUGUGGUUAACACCUUAUGAGCUAAAUGACAGAUGCCAGCACAAAGCAUUACUCCACUGAAAAUAUUUGUCGAAAAGUGAGCCGGCAGCUUUAGGGAGCUUUGGUGAAUGUGCAAAACGUUUUGCUAUUGUCCAGGCUCGAUAAUGGGAGAGGACAUUGAGGAGUUCUGCAGGAGACAGCAGUGUGAGAAGAGAUCCCCAUGGAGCACAAACAGAGGGCCUCAAAUUGCCACCACAGCAGCAGAGGUGCAGCAGGUGGGGAAGAUGAAGGUCACAAACAUAGCUUGGAAUGAACACAACUGAGCUACAGCCUCCCCACUAAAACCAUCAGACACAUUGGAGACUUGGAUGUUUUCCUCUCCACUGACACGCUCAACGCAAGGCUCACGGUGAUUUUGUCUUCAGGAUGAGCUUGGCAGCCGCAGCCUCAGCUGGAAGCAAAGUCAGAAGCUCCACACGUGGACUCAGCACUCCCACCCCUCUGCAUGGGCAUCCCUGGCCCCAGGACUGCGUGUUUCCAGCAGGCACAUACAUGUCCAACAGCAACGUCUCCUUCCUUGGUUCUAAGGCCAUGUUUUUGUUUAAGGUUGGAAAACAGCUCCGUGGAUUCCAUGCCCUCCCCCGGCCCACCCAGGGGUUGCAUCCUGCUGAAACAUCACAUCACAACACUUCUGCAGGGGGCUCCUCAGGUGUUGUUAUUGGGAUGGUCACAGCACUGAAUGCAUGGGAAUCUGACCCCAGAGCUCAACUCCGUGUAGGAAUGCAGGAAAUCAGUUCCCUUUGCUGAAGCACUGCAUUACUAAGACGAUGUGGGUAAUGGCAGCAGAAUCAUUAAGGAGAUCCUCGUCCUGACUCCCAGGGUGGGGUCUCCUUCUCGUGUCUGGGGUUAACCUGGCACAGCUUCUAACACGUUCCUCGUUGGGGCUGGAUGCUUGGGAUACACAGACCUGCGUGGGAGCUGACAUUUUGGAGAUGUUACCGUGGCUCAGAGCCCCACAUCCGGGCUGGCUCACAGUGAGCGUUCCGCAGGAGCACUAUUUGUGCCGUGGCCCUGCAGGAACUGCA
Molecule: long non-coding RNA, 1508 nt
Filed under: Gallus gallus (chicken)
Lineage: Eukaryota; Metazoa; Chordata; Aves; Galliformes; Phasianidae
Description: long non-coding RNA NONGGAT002828
Source: RNAcentral